AGAAAUAACAAUACAAGGCAAUUAAAAUGCUUUGUAAUUGGAAUGAUAGAAAUUUAAACCCUUUUUAAAGUAUCAAUUGGAGGGCAAGUCUGGUGCCAGCAGCCGCGGUAAUUCCAGCUCCAAUAGCGUAUAUUAAAAUUGUUGCAGUUAAAAAGCUCGUAGUUGAAGUUCUGCUAAAAGUAACCGGUCUGCUUUUAAUAAAAGUGGUAUCUUGGUGUGUAUUUAGCAAUGAUGUCCUUUGAAGUGUUUUUUACUUUAUUGUAAUAAAGCAUAUUCAGGACUUUUACUUUGAGAAAAUUAGAGUGUUUCUAGCAGGCCAACGCUUUGAAUACUGCAGCAUGGAAUAAUAAGAUAGGAUUUUAGUUCUACAUUAUUGGUUUUAAGAGCUAAAUUAAUGAUUGAUAGGGACAGUUGGGGGCAUUUGUAUUUAACUGUCAGAGGUGAAAUUCUUAGAUUUGUUAAAGACAAAC
This 470-nucleotide ribosomal RNA is filed under the name Hepatozoon canis. Its description in RNAcentral is "SSU rRNA". It matches the Rfam family "Eukaryotic small subunit ribosomal RNA", at positions 473 to 940 of the family's 1831-position model. Lineage: Eukaryota; Apicomplexa; Hepatozoidae. The record is from RNAcentral.